This 230-nucleotide ribosomal RNA is filed under the name uncultured bacterium. Its description in RNAcentral is "partial 16S ribosomal RNA". It matches the Rfam family "Bacterial small subunit ribosomal RNA", at positions 562 to 791 of the family's 1533-position model. The record is from RNAcentral.
AAAGCGUGCGCAGGCGGUUUUGUAAGUCUGUUGUGAAAUCCCCGGGCUCAACCUGGGAAUGGCAAUGGAGACUGCAAGGCUAGAGUUUGGCAGAGGGGGGUAGAAUUCCACGUGUAGCAGUGAAAUGCGUAGAUAUGUGGAGGAACACCGAUGGCGAAGGCAGCCCCCUGGGUCAAAACUGACGCUCAUGCACGAAAGCGUGGGGAGCAAACAGGAUUAGAUACCCUGGU